AAGUUAAUGUUUUUUUGAUAAUGGACAUUUUAGUAUGCAAUGUAGUUAAUGGCGAGUUGAAUUAGUCAUUCUCUAACAUAUUUCAAGAUGGUUUUAUUUUCAAAUUAUUAUUACUAUGAUUAGUUUUUUUUACAUUUUUUUUUUUUGCCUUUUGUAGCCAAGCUAAACUGCAUAAUGAACAUAACUAAUGGCUUUUUUGUACGUCCUAACCUGCAAGUCUGCUCUGGUUAUACAGCAUGGCAAGUUGCCAUGCUUGCGUAGUUCCAGUGAAUACAAGUGCAAAGUACAAAACAUGAAGACUGCAGCUUGCAUUUUCUGUUCUAUUGAAGUAAACAAGGCGGUGAAGUUUCACUCGUCACACCCCAACAGAACACAUUAAAAGAAACAUUUGUCCCUUCCUCUCUUUAUUUUUUUUUUAGUAGUAGCCACCAGGGCCUUGCCUUUGUGCUGCCACAUGUAUACGUUCAUUGUUACCGUGCCCUGCAGCCUGCAGUCUCUCACAGUAUGUGGUGUUCAUCAGCACUCUGGUCACAUAGGUUUGUCUCUGUGGCCUCUGCACUGGGAUCUGAGUCUGUGAAGUGGCUGCCAGGCCCCUAAGGACACUGAUAAGCCCCCCAUAACAUUCAUUCCCCAGUUUACGUGUGUGUGCGCAUGAGAGAGAGUCAGAGACUGAGAUAGAAAGCGUGCGGGUGUGUUUGACAGAAAGGAACAGUGUUAUAUAUAUGUGUGUGCGUGAACUAGGCCAGGCUGAUAACAGCAUGGUAAGAGAGGCAGCAGCUGAUAAGCCCCUCUUGUUGCUUGGGGUAACCAGGCCUUGUUAAAUGAAUGCAGUAAAAUAUGGUCUGCCAGAGAACAGCAGAGGUGGUCGCAAUACUGUUUUUACAAUCUCUCUCGCGUGCAAACGUGAGUGGUUUAGCCGUCACUGAAAGUAAAUCAUUGGAAAGGUAUUUCUUUCUUUCUUUCUUUCUUUCUUUCUUUCUUUCUUUCUUUCUUUCUUUCUUUCUUUCUUUCUUUCUUUCUUUCUUUCUUUCUUUCUUUCUUUCUUUCUUUCUUUCUUUCUUUCUUUCUUUUAAUCUACAUUUUCUGGCACAGCAUUUAUAGAGAGUCAAACAGCCGCGCUCAAAACCCUACACUCUCUGAAAAGUACUUUCACUUUCUCUUCAGCACAUGUCAUGCAGCAUACAGUCAUACACCCAAACGUCUUCUAACAUUUUCUUUUGUUAUAUUUAGUUCUUUUUUUCUUUUGGUCUUUUUUCUGUGUCUCCUUUCUAUACUAUACAGAGUAGUAGGCCUGUUGUAUGGAAUAAGAAGCAGUCUGCUUACCUUUGUGUUUACAGCUCGUGCCUGUAUGUGACAGAGCAGCAGCUGCCUGCAAGAUCCAAGAGGGAAACGGAAAUUGUUCUCAUUACUUUUGGCAAACACAGAACCUUCAUCUGCUUACAGGCGUGGGAUCAGUUCCCUCCUGUCAGUGUCUAGCCACCAGAGAGAGUGCGUCACGCAGACGUGAGAUCACAGAUCAGCGUAGAUCACGGUGAUUUUUUUUUCUUCUUUUUCUAGUCGUUGUCAGUUCACGCUUCCUCUUUUCAUUUUUCCAGAGAACUGAGCCCCCCCCCCCCCCCCCCCCCCAAACACACGCACCCCUCCCUCCCCUCCCAUGCUGCGAGAUCUCAUUGGUUACCUGUGUUGUGAGUCAAGGUAACCCAUAGUGACCAUUGUCAGUGCAGAGCAAAUGUAAACACGGGUGUAUUUGCAAUGUAAAGCAGCAGAGAGCCAAGCAACCAAUCUGCAAC
Astatotilapia calliptera (eastern happy) is the source of this 1790-nucleotide long non-coding RNA. Lineage: Eukaryota; Metazoa; Chordata; Actinopteri; Cichliformes; Cichlidae. The record is from Ensembl.